This is a non-coding RNA of Halocaridina rubra (Hawaiian volcano shrimp), 74 nucleotides long. Lineage: Eukaryota; Metazoa; Arthropoda; Malacostraca; Decapoda; Atyidae. The record is from the annotation of a GenBank genome assembly.
ACCUUCUGUGGUGUAGUUGGUAGCACCUUGACUUAAUAAUGAUAAUGUCCUGGGUUUAAGUCCCGGUCGGGGUA